Molecule: ribosomal RNA, 490 nt
Filed under: uncultured bacterium
Lineage: Bacteria
Description: bacterial SSU rRNA
Rfam family: Bacterial small subunit ribosomal RNA
Source: RNAcentral
AUUGAACGCUGGCGGCAUGCUUUACACAUGCAAGUCGAACGGUAACAGGCCGCAAGGUGCUGACGAGUGGCGAACGGGUGAGUAAUGCAUCGGAACGUGCCCAGUCGUGGGGGAUAACGCAGCGAAAGCUGUGCUAAUACCGCAUACGAUCUACGGAUGAAAGCGGGGGACUCAGCAAUGAGCCUCGCGCGAUUGGAGCGGCCGAUGUCAGAUUAGGUAGUUGGUGGGAUAAAGCUCACCAAGCCGACGAUCUGUAGCUGGUCUGAGAGGACGACCAGCCACACUGGGACUGAGACACGGCCCAGACUCCUACGGGAGGCAGCAGUGGGGAAUUUUGGACAAUGGGCGCAAGCCUGAUCCAGCAAUGCCGCGUGCAGGAAGAAGGCCUCGGUUGUAAGCUCUGUUGUAGGUACGAAGAUACAAGGGAAGUAACUAGCCCUUCGUACGUGACGGUACCGUUACCACGUCAAGCCCCGGCCGUAACCUACCG